Microcebus murinus (gray mouse lemur) is the source of this 3689-nucleotide non-coding RNA. Lineage: Eukaryota; Metazoa; Chordata; Mammalia; Primates; Cheirogaleidae. The record is from RefSeq and is a predicted model, not a curated record.
AGCUCUUUUUGUCAUUGCUGGUCAUGGCUUCCUGUUAUAAGGAGCAGACGCAUUUGCUGGUCUCUCUGGCCUCUGGAUGGGGCCGCAGAUCGAUGAGAUCCAGGAAAAGCCUGUGCCUGCUGUCUGGAAGCCGAGGCCGACAGGAAGAGGAGAGGUCCCAGGCCCCUGCAACCAGCCAAGCAGUUCUCCGAACACGCAGAGCAUUGGCCCCUGCAGGGCCGCCAGCAGAUUGCCGGGAGCUGCCUGCACACGUGGGAGGCUGUGGCCACGGCCUUUCCAGUGAGUCCCCUGGGGCAUCCGGGGGACAGAGGAACUGCGACCCCUGAGUGCGCUUCCACUCAGGUGCAGCUCUGUGGGAAAUUCCUGCUCUCUGGAGCCUGGGACUCAUCCUGAACUCACACCGAACCCAACGGAAGCUUGAGCUCUAGUUGCAGGCUGACCCUGGGAGGAGAGGGGUCUGUCCGCUGUGGAUUGGACCUGCAGUGGUGGAGUGGUGGGUGCCACUGCACGAUGAGACAGGACCUCGCUGGCCUCUGGCCUUGGCCAGAGCUCUGAGUAAGAGCCAGCAUGGGGGUGGGGACUGUAUUUUGAGUUCCCGACCUUCCCCGCUUCCCGCUGUGAUCUCAGCUCUUCAACGCCUCUCUGAGCUCUAGUGUCCGUGUCCUUAGGAAGACUGCCCUCACACAGUGCCGGCAUGGCCAAAGGUGCCCAGCGCACUGUCGACUCAGAUCUGACGGCUCGUUGGCCGGCCCUGCUGUGGUGCUCAGAGCUUCCAGAGACCGGCCAGAGGCGUUCUUGCUUGUGAACUGAGGAUUGAAGCCAAUGGGCCCUUAAAGCCUCUCCCAGGCUGGGAGAGGGAAACUGUGGGACACCAGUUUCCCAAGGUCCCUGUUCCAGCAGCUGCUCCCUGCAACAGGCAGACGAGCGCACGCACACACGUUCGCGCCUGCUGCUGUGAGCCCGAGCUCUCUGUGUUGCUGGACUCCCAGGGCUGCCUCAGCCUCAGAAGGUCAAGAAUGUGUGAAAAAACGGGAGCCGCUUUGCUCUUCCGGAGAGUGGGGAGGUGUCGGGGGGAGGGCAGCGUGCAGUGCUGAUGGCCCUGCGUGUCCUGCGCAAACACCCUAGCAAGCCUGCAGCCGCCUUGAGAGUGAGCGCGGAGAAACCGGGCGGGCUGGCUCCCCGCCCCUUCCCCGCAUGGCCUGAGGGGCCCUGGAGCGCCUGGAUGAUGCCGGUGACACCUGCCUCUGAAUCUCUCCCUCUGGUUUUGGCGCAGAGGCAAAGGAGGCCCAAGCCCUUUCACUUGCUUCUGUCCCUUACACAGAGGCCGGCCUCGGCCUGAAAAAGACGCGAGGAGAGGACCCUGCUUCAAAGGUGAAGGAUCCACACGGCUGCUGCUUUAUCCAUGGGUAAGUAUUGAACACAACUAUUUUUCUGCAAGCAUUCUCUGUCCCUAGCACUUACCUUAUUUAUUUAUUUUUUCAGGUCUGCAAAUUACUUCAAAUAAACAAACUAGUACCCAAAGGGUAGUGGCCGGAAUGCCUGGUCCCUGCUAAACGGCUGCUCAUGGGCGCGUCGGCCUCGCGGCCCCGUGUGAGGUGGUGGACGAGCAGCCGUGCUCAGCAUGUUCUGCUCUGAGCUGCGAGUUGGUGACUUCCAUUCUCUUGCUUGGUCUUGCACAGGUUAGCCGUUCCUGAAGGAGAACCUCAGCUCUCAGUGUUCUCUGGAAGCCUCUCUCACCUGCCCGGGGCCAGGGUCUGGCAGCGGAGCGCAGACUCUGGGGUGCCGCCCCACGGGCCUCAGCGGGAACACCGUCGUCCGCGCAGGUGCCAGCAGCUGCACAGGAGGACACCUCCCCGGCUGGGGUCUGCCCUCGCGGAGCAGGGACGGGCUCCAGGCCUCACCUGUGGGAAGGCGGCGCCCUGGCACCCCGCUCCCCCUGCUGCCCGCUAAGCGGCCGUGGCGCCCGCUCUUCGGUGCACGAGACGAUGCGCUCCGGCCGUUGCAGGGACUGAGACGAGACACGUGAAGGCUGUGCGCACAGCAAAGGGCCUUGCCCAGGGAGAUGCUUAGUGACGGAGUUUCUUCCCCCACUUGGAAGGUGCACCAUGUUCUGUUUCCUGCCUCAUGGCUGGGCCUUCGGCUGCAGCUUCACCGGAGGGUUUCCCCUCCCAGCCCCUGCGGGACUCGCGCCUGUGCUCCCCACCAGCCUGGGAGUCCUGCAGCGGCACUGACCACCCAGGCCCACAGUGGGGUGGCAAUCUGGAGGCCACGUGGACCCGUUUCUCUCCCCACUGGCUCUCAGGGGAACGUGCGUUUCUGAGCACGAUCACCCGCAAGUCUCCUGGGAGAAGGGUCUGAGGGUUGCCAGGAAGCACAGCAAGUGGCCUCAGGGGCUCCAGGCAGCCCUGGGCAGUGUGGUCGAGGGUGGGGAAGCAGAGCCAUUGCUGGCUUCUGCCAGGUGACAGGGAAGCUCCAUCUUCUGGGUUUUCUGGGUACAUGGCAAGGUGUCAUUUUUUUUACGUUGGAAAACAAAAGGAGAGCCUGUCCCCAAAUAGUCAAGGGACCUCUCUGAGUAUUCUAGACACAUGGGUGGCCUUGCUCUUCAGCCAGUUACAAGUGGCUUUGGGAAAACUGUGUUGUGAGCCAGAAAGCAACUAAAUAUACGUACACAUAUAUAGCUGUUGAAACACGAGCCCUAAUUCUGCUAAAUCCUCUCGUAGAACCAAUGGUAGAACCAACACUUGGUUCUACCAAGUAUUCUACCAAGGUUCUACUUGGCAACUGGAAUGAGAAUCCGUGGCCCUCAGGGCAGCUGACCCAGGCUUUGCAACAGCACCGGCCUCGGCUGCGGGUGUUGUCAUGCCCUGCAUGCACUCGCUGGUAGGGUGGGGCUGCGCCAACAGAGCUGGGUGGGGCUGAGCCUGGCCUCGCACCCUGAGCGUCUCCGUAAGCAAAGGGCAGCUCAGAAGCAGAGCUAAGAGUUGGACGCCCUGACAUGGGUGUUUCUCACUUGCCAGGACCCCAAGGGUUGGGUGUCAUUUUCCAUCCAGGGAAGGACAGGAUACUGAGGGGCCCAUGGUGAAGUGACUGGCUCAAGGUCGCCAGCUGGUGCACACCUCCAGGCAUCGGCAAGGGUCCUGGGGCAUUGCUUUGUUGCAGUUCUAAAGCUCAUCUGGAACUGUCUACAGGGCUUGGGGAGUUGUGUGUCCGGACUGAACUUCUCAGAUGUCUGCAGGGCCAGGGGGAGGGAGAGGGAGAGAGAUUGUAUGAGCUGCCCUGUCCUCCCUGCCUGGGUUCUGGCCCCAGGGCUUGGUGGCGAUUAGGCUUGUUUUGGCAGGACCUGCUGUACUGCUGUUAUUUUUAUCUCUGCUCUGGGUCGCAGUUUACCUUGCUGUUCUUGUUCCCCGUAAACACAGCUUGCAGCCUUCCCGGCUGCCUCUGUCUUGGUGUUUAGGACUCCCUCCCUCCUGCAUUUCAGCACUUUCUGGCAGGCUCAGCAACAUUGGGAAGCUCUUUCCAGCAGUGGACGGGGUUGAGAAAGUGCCGGAAAACCAUAUGUGGCCCACUGGGCUCUUAGCCCCUCAGCCCCUGUCUCCAGAGCCGCCUUGCUCUGCCCAGUAAAGCAGCAGACUGGCUGGAACGGCAGGGGUGGGGGUGGGGUGGUGGGAGGGGGAGCAGCUGGGAUCCCC